Molecule: long non-coding RNA, 455 nt
Filed under: Ictidomys tridecemlineatus (thirteen-lined ground squirrel)
Lineage: Eukaryota; Metazoa; Chordata; Mammalia; Rodentia; Sciuridae
Description: lncRNA (ENSSTOG00000030485.1)
Source: RNAcentral
CUCCCCGCCCCCCUGCCUCGGGCCUGGUCCCUCAGCGGCCCCUCCCUCCCUCCCGUCGGAAUUCGCAGCCUUCCCGGUUCUUUCCAUCCCCCAGCGGCCUCCCUCGGGGUAUUACUUUGGGGGGGAAAGACAGAGGCGUCGAGGUGGCGGGCUCCACACUGGCCCGGCCCGCAUUCCCAGCGCCUCCCGCUCCUUGCCGCGCGGCAGCCGACUCCUCUAAAAUACCCGGGCGUCGCCGCGGCCUCGCUCCCGUCCGCGCGCAGAAGCCGGUGGGGCCCCGAGAAACCUUAGGCACGACUUCUUCCCUACUCAAUAUUGAUAUAAAGCUAACAAAGAUUGUGAUGGCAUGGAUAAUGGCACUUCAGGAAGAACCCACUAUACAUGAACAAGGUAGACCCAUGCUCAAUAGUAUAUGGCACUGACUCAUUUCAAUAGGAGCCUCAAGAGUGUUACAU